Molecule: ribosomal RNA, 402 nt
Filed under: uncultured bacterium
Lineage: Bacteria
Description: bacterial SSU rRNA
Rfam family: Bacterial small subunit ribosomal RNA
Source: RNAcentral
GGGCCCGCACAAGCGGUGGAGCAUGUGGUUUAAUUCGAUGAUACGCGAGGAACCUUACCAGGGCUUAAAUGUAGUCUGACAGGCGUGGAAACAUGCUUUUCUUCGGACAGAUUACAAGGUGCUGCAUGGUUGUCGUCAGCUCGUGCCGUGAGGUGUCAGGUUAAGUCCUAUAACGAGCGCAACCCCUGUUGUUAGUUGCCAGCGAGUCAUGUCGGGAACUCUAACAAGACUGCCAGUGCAAACUGUGAGGAAGGUGGGGAUGACGUCAAAUCAUCACGGCCCUUACGUCCUGGGCCACACACGUGCUACAAUGGUAGGUACAGAGAGCAGCCACUGCGCGAGCAGGAGCGAAUCUAUAAAACCUAUCUCAGUUCGGAUCGGAGUCUGCAACUCGACUCCGUG